This 886-nucleotide long non-coding RNA is filed under the name Pan troglodytes (chimpanzee). RNAcentral describes it as "long non-coding RNA NONPTRT015581". Lineage: Eukaryota; Metazoa; Chordata; Mammalia; Primates; Hominidae. The record is from RNAcentral.
CAUGCGGUUAGGAGUCAGACACUGGCUGGGGCUGGGUUCAUCAGAUCACUGCACUAUUCUUUUAUUUAUCAAAUAUUUAUUGACUAUUUUGUGUGAAGCGCUGCUAGGCGGUGAAGAUACAAUAGUUAUUACAGCAUAAUUCUAGUCUCCUUGGGGCAGGAUGCCAUCUUUAAGAAUCUCAGUAGGUGGUAAGUGCUAAAAAAUAGUAUGAAAGAGCAUUAUGGACUCAUGGAGUCAAACAUGGAAGGCUUCCUGGAGUUGGUGACUUAUGAGGGGACUCAAAUGAUGGGAGCCAUGAAAGGAUUGUGAGAAGGAAAAUGACAUAAUAAGCUUUCUAUUUUUAAAACGUCAGUGCCAUGUGGAAGGAACAAAGGAAGGAGUGAAGGCUGGAGAGGAAGGAGGCCAGGUAGCAAGAAGGUCAUUGCAAAAGUCUAGGUAAAAGACAUAAGGCAGCUUUGGUGGAAAUGAAGAGGUAAGUACAGAUUUAGGAGCUGAGGGAUUACACGUGUGGGGUGACCUCCUGAUUUUUGAAUUGUAUAUUGUUAGAUAGUGGUGGCUUUAAUUAAGAUAGCAGUCAGAGGAAAAUAAAAUUUUAGAGUACUUUGUUUUUGACAUUUGCAUUUGAGGUAUUUGUAGGACACCAUGGUAGAUAUGUCUAAUAAAUAGUGAGAUGUAUGAUGCCUGGGUAUAUUCAUUUAGGAGCUAACAUUUUGCUGAUUGUUGAAGCUAAGGACUUGAAUGGUGUAACUUAGGCCAGGUCUUAAUUCUGGAGCAAGGAUCUGCAGUAACAUAGAAUCUGUGUGUCAAUGUUCUCCAGCCAAAGACCACCAAAGGCUUGGGUUUAUUACUCAUUGCAGUAAGGAAAAACAUGUAUCCUGGAGAACUG